AUUGAACGCUGGCGGCAGGCUUAACACAUGCAAGUCGAGCGGUAGCACAGGGGAGCUUGCUCCCUGGGUGACGAGCGGCGGACGGGUGAGUAAUGUCUGGGAAACUGCCUGAUGGAGGGGGAUAACUACUGGAAACGGUAGCUAAUACCGCAUAACGUCGCAAGACCAAAGAGGGGGACCUUCUGGCCUCUUGCCAUCAGAUGUGCCCAGAUGGGAUUAGCUAGUAGGUGGGGUAAUGGCUCACCUAGGCGACGAUCCCUAGCUGGUCUGAGAGGAUGACCAGCCACACUGGAACUGAGACACGGUCCAGACUCCUACGGGAGGCAGCAGUGGGGAAUAUUGCACAAUGGGCGCAAGCCUGAUGCAGCCAUGCCGCGUGUGUGAAGAAGGCCUUCGGGUUGUAAAGCACUUUCAGCGAGGAGGAAGGUGGUGAGCUUAAUACGUUCAUGAAUUGACGUUACUCGCAGAAGAAGCACCGGCUAACUCCGUG
This 490-nucleotide ribosomal RNA is filed under the name uncultured bacterium. Its description in RNAcentral is "partial 16S ribosomal RNA". It matches the Rfam family "Bacterial small subunit ribosomal RNA", at positions 30 to 507 of the family's 1533-position model. The record is from RNAcentral.